Molecule: long non-coding RNA, 5494 nt
Filed under: Sus scrofa (pig)
Lineage: Eukaryota; Metazoa; Chordata; Mammalia; Artiodactyla; Suidae
Description: lncRNA (ENSSSCG00000054393.1)
Source: RNAcentral
UUUUUUUUUUGUUUUUUUGCUUUUUAGGGCCACAGUUGCGGCAUAUGGAAGUUCCCAGGCUAGUGGUGGAAUCAGAGCUGCAGCUGUAGCUUAUGCUAUAGCCACAAGAACAAGGGAUCCAAGACAUGUCUGCGACUUACACCAUAGCUCAGGGCAACGCUAGAUCCUUAACCCACUGAGUGAGGCCAGGGAUGGAACCUGCAUACUCACAGAUACUAGUAGAGUUCAUUUCCACUGAGCCACAAUGGGAACUCCCAACUAUCAACUACUUUAAACUGCAUUUGUUUAUUUGAUUAAUAAGAGUUGAGAGCAGGAACUAUGCUUUCAAUAUUCCUCUGCCCAUCAAGAUGUCUGGCUUACAGUGCAUGCUUAAUAUGUGAUGCUGAUCACUACUUACAAAAUUUUGCAUGAGUACAAAAGAGAAAAAUGUUUCUAGCCUUUAUCUACUAUCGUUUUCAUUUAUUUCUGGCACUGGCAAGAUAGAAAAUUUGCAUUACUUCUGAGCACAGGCAUGAUGCAUUUCGAUAUGCUUUUCCAUCUCUGCACAGGAUAAAAUAUAUGCCAUAUGACAACUGGUACCGCAAUUUUAUGCUGAAUUGGAAUAUUUUAGACCUUGAUGAGUUCAACAGAUAUACACACACAGAAAAGAUAGAUGUCAAAAGAACAGGCACAUGUUUCGCUAUCUCUACCUUCAACACCGCUAACUAUGGGCCUGUGUUAUCAGAUCUCUUUUCUCAGACUGUUUCUCAGGAAGUGAGUUACACACACUUUAUACGAUGACUUUAAAAAUGGGUCUACAUACGCUAAAUGGAUUGAAGAUGUCUUUUUGACGUAGAUAAAAUGAAAGUUACAAAUAUGAUUCAAAAACUCUUCACAAAAAUCAAAGACAAACUUAUUUUGGGUAGAAGGCAGGGAGGCUAACUACUGAGAAAUGUAGGAAAUUCAUGUGUUAAUUUAUAUAACUUCACAGCAUGGUGGUGUAUUUUCCUUAAGUCUGUCUGACAGAAAAAUUUCAGAGGCAUGAUUCUUCCAGCUAAUCUUAUCAAAGGAAAGUUCAAAUGUGUCAAAACUAACAGAGGUUCUUAAUGCCACAUCAUUAUGGAAAUUGUUCUGAACUGGGGCUGAGUAAUGGAGUUGCUAAUGCAGGUUCUAACAGGGCCAUCAUUUCUUCCAGGGGGUUUUUAUUUUGCAUAUCCAUAUGAAAAGAAUGGAAUGAGUUCCCUUGUGGUGCAGCAGGUUAAGGAUCCUGUGUUGUUACUGCAGCAGCUUUGGUUGCUGACAUGGAAUGGGUUUGAUUCCUGACCUGGGAACUUUGGCAUGCCAUGCUUAAGAAAAAAAAAAAAAAAAAAAGAAUUGGACUAAACCAUAGGUUUGAAAAACCUUGGUUGUACUUUAGAAUAUACCUUGUUUAGAAAAAUACCCAUCCCCAAGCCCAAUCCUCAAAGAUGCUGAUUCAGCUGGUCUGGGGAAGAGGGAGCCUCAGAAGUUCCCCAGGUGAGUGUAAUAUGCAGCCUGAACUGGAAAUCACUGACUGUGGGUCCUCUAAACAUCUUGAUUGCCUAAGAUAUAUGAUCCUGGAACUUCUGGGAAAAGUUCCUUUCUCUCUCUCUCUCUUUCUCUCUCACACAUACAGCCAAAGUUUGCUCAUUAAUCUGGACCUCCCGUUUCUAGUCCAAUGGUUAGUUUUCCACACCAGUGAGGUCUAAUUUUUCAACUAACAAAUGAAAACUGUGCUAUCCUGCAUGCAAAUCAGAUAAAGCAUUAAUUAACAGGGAAGGUAGGUAGAAGGAAGAGAAGCAGAGAAACAAAAUAUAAGCACUGUUAGAAUACAAGCUUUCUAAAAGCAACAGUGUAUCUGCUCAUCAACAUUUAAUCAAGUAUUGCUUGGUGCUUAUUUACAUAUAAGCUUUUAACAAUUCCUCUGCUUGAAGCAUAUCAUGGCAACUAGAAAAAAAUAAUCUUGAUAGGGGAGACAAAUUCACUGCUACAGAAAUGUUGAGGGUUGGUCUAAUUAAGGAGACAAACCUAUUUCAAUAAAGAAGAUGCUUGAUGAUUAUUUAAUGAAUUAGUGAAAUUCUCCCAUGUUCUAGAUGCAGACCUUACGUUUAUCUGAUGAUUGGAAAAGCUCUUUCCUAGGAAAAUUGUAAUGGUUUUUGCUUUGCUAAAGGAAGAUCCCGAGUGUCUCUGACCCUACUCUUAAAACUAAGAUGGAUUUCCUUGGGAGAGAGGAACAUAGCUUUUUUUGUACUUCUCUGUUCAGGCCACAGUUAAGAGGCUGGAAUCAUGGUUUAAAACAAGGAGUUGAAGACUCUGGUCCUAUUUUUAGGCCUGGCCUCUAUUUCUGUAGGUGGUGGGAAUCUUUGAGACAUGGCAGCAGGGACAGGUGCAAAUGGUCAUUUCUGAAGGGCUGCCCAGUUCUUAGAUCCUCCUUUGUGUUUGAAGGGGUUUGAUUUCAAGAAACAGGUAAAUCCAUAGCCACUAAAAUUUCUUUAAUUAGAUAACAUUCAUACAGUUGUUCAUCCAAUAAAUAUUUAUGGUGGGCCAUCUUUGUUCUAAGCCAUGGGGAUAUAAAGAUUCCUAGAUGGUUAUCAAGCACACAACUUACUAUUGACUUCAACCCAAACGGUUUUAAGUCAAUUCACACACAUGAACCCUUUAUUCUCCAUUCCACUAGCAAUUCUUUUCAUUCUUUUUUUUUUUUUUUCUUUUUAUGGCCACACCUGCAGUAUAUGGAAGUUUCAGGGCUGGGGGUUAGAUUGGAGACACAGCUGGGGCCUACACCACAGCCACAGCAACACUGAUCUGAGACAUGUCUGUGACCUAUGCUGCAGCUUUAGGCAACAUCUGGAUCCUUAACCCACUGAGUGAGGCCAGGGAUUGAACCCAUAUCCUCAUAGAGACAACACUGGGGCCUUAACCUGCUGAGCCACAGUGGGGAACUUCUCAUUCUUUACUAAGUGACUUUAAAAGCUGUUUAGUGGACCCUCCUCCUUUUCAGAGGACCUAGUUGCUUGCGUUAAUGAUGAUGUUCCUGAUGCCAACCCUCUUGUUCUUUCACUUUAAUCAAAUCCCCUGCAUCCCUGGGGGAGGGGAAGCUUUUGAUCUCAUGAUGUCCUGCCUAGCAAAAAUGUCUUAUUCAUAAAGCACUAAUUUGUCAUUAAUUUACUAUUGCUUGACUCUUUUCAGUUUACUUUUAAUCCCCACCUGAAAAUAUCAAUGAAAGGAAAUGCCCCCAAAUAUUUCAAUGUUAGAAGCAAGAAUAUCAAAUGUAUGUGUGUUGGGGGAGGGGGAACAGGAAACAGAUGCGGAAGUCCCCUGGUGCUGAAAAAUUCUAUUUGAAAUGACUAAGAUGAUCCUUUGUCACUAAACACAAGACCCAUGUUGCUGUUUUGAUUUAAACCCUUCAUGAAAAACUGGAGUAGAUGUACAAAUAUACUUUUUGUAAUUUAAUGUGUAAAAGCCCACCAUGGAAUCUGGACUCUCUUCUCUGUGUAAUUACAGUCAUUUUCUAAAGUGUCUUGGAUGAAAACACAGGGUCAUAGUUGCUGUAUUCAGUAAUAUCUUGUAAAAACAUCAUCUCAGAGCUUGAAAUCCAGUAUGCUGUUCUCUAUAUGGUGAAUACCUUAAUACCUACACUCUUUGCUUUGUGGAGGUGGGUACCAAUCACUCCAGCUAUCACAGUCAAAGGUGCUCUGGGUUCCCUGAGAGUUAUUCCACGUGCCAACAUUAGGACCUGCUAUGCUGCCAGAGGCACAAGGAAGCAUGAGGGUAUUUGCCCAAAGUGGUUUUGAUAUCACUGGGUUACACAAUCGAACCAAUGAAUUACCAUUAGAAAGACAUGCAAUAAGCAGAAGAUUUAAAAAGAGAAAAGAAAUCACAGGGUGAUUUAUAGUUUUUAAAAGAAAACCUUUUCAGUUCUUUAAGCCAUGCCUAUAUAUUUAAAGUAACAUCAGGGCUUUUUUUUUUUUUUUUAAUACAAUGAAGAAAAUAUCUUAUCUCCCUAUUCUUGUCAAGACACUUUAUCUGCAAUUUCAAUCCAUAAUAAUUGCUUUCUAAAAACUACCCUUUUUGAUAAAUCUUGCUUGGACAGUUUGGUGCAGAGACAUCAAAAAAAAGCUUUCUUUAAGGCAGUUACAAGCUUAAUCUGGUCAAGAAUAGAUAAACACUAUUAAUGUUUCCUUUUUUCCCCCCUCAUUUUCUCCACUCUCUGCCUCUGCUAUUUCUUACACUACUUCUGAAGCAAUAUUCUCUCUCUUAUUUACUAUUUUAUGCAUUCUCUCUACAGCCGCCUACAGUUAUUUAAAUUUUUUUUUUUUUUUAAAGCAGAUAAACACCGAGAAAGCCAACUUUACCAUUCAACUUUUCCAUUAUGAAGGAUCCUGGGGUCUUAUCAGGUAAAGCUAUAAUAUGAAAAUUUAUCCACAUGGUAAUAUCCCUUUACUGUAUGGAUUUUGGGAAAAAAAAAAAACCACCCACAUCUUUGUUGUCAGACUUUGGGGUGCAAUGCUGGCUGUCCAUAAGUGAUUUUGAAAAGGCCUAUGUUGAAAUGUCUCCAACUAAACUAUAUGAGAGAGGUUGUAUGGGAUGCAUAAGAGAGAACUAUUAGAUUAAAAUAUGAGCUUCUGAGAGUUCCCAUCUUGCUCAGCAGUAACAAACCUGACCAGUAUGCAUGAGGAUUGGGGUUUGAUCCCUGGCCUCGCUCAGUGGAUUAAGGAUCCGGCAUUGCCAUGAGCUGUGGUGAAGAUUGCAAACCUGGCACAUUGCUGUGGCUGUGGCACAGGCUGGCAGCUGCAGCUCCAAUUUGACCCCUAGCCUGGGAAUUUCCAUAUGCCACAGGUGUGGACAUAAAAAGGAAAAAAAAAAUAUGAGCUUCUCAGAAAGAUGCAUAAUGACAACACUAUUUAAAUUAAAUCUCCUUUCUCUUGAGAUUGUACAAUCCAUGAGGCAGGUGUCUUGCAUCCUCAGCACCAAGUUCAAUGCAUAGUUUGUAACUUCACUGUCUAAUACAGUGGCUACUAGUCACUUGUGGCUUUUAAGCACUUGAAAUGUGACUAGUUCAAAUUGAGAUGGGUUGUAAGAAAAAAGUACACACUAGAUUUUGAAGAGUUAGUGCCCCCAAAAUAAGAACAUAAAAUAUCUCAUUAAUAACUUUAAUACAGAUUACAUGUCAAAAAUGAUACUAUUUUGGAUACAUUUCAUAAGUAAAAUAUAUUAUUAAAAUUUUUGUUUAUUUUUACUUUUUAAAAAUGUGGCUACUAGAAAAUUUAAAAUUCCAUAGGUGACUCACAAUAUAUUUUUAUUAAGCAGCACUUGUCUAAAGAAUUCAGCAUAGGAGUUCCCUUCAUGGCUCAGUGGUUAAUGAAACCGACUAGGAACCAAGAGGUUGAGGGUUCGAUCCAUGGCCUUGCUCGGUGGGUUAAGGAUCCGGCGUUGCUGUGGGCUAGCAGCUACAGCUCCGAUUAGACCCCUAGCCUGGGAAAUGCAGGAGCGGCCC